GUGGUGAUUUGGUUUUUAGCAAGAUAGAAGGAUAGUGCUUUUCCACCUGAGAUUAAUGAAAAGAAGAGCAGCAAUAUUUGAUACGAAGGCCGACGGCUAGCUACCUGUCCAGGUACUGCAAUGGAAGUAAUAUGCAUGAACAAAUAAUGAAUAUUUUAAAGGGGAAAUUGACGUUUGUUCACGGGAAGACUGACAACUCUGUCCGCACUGUCACCUGAUCUGGCGCAGUGCGUGCUAACUAUUGGUAACAGUAGGCCUUGUCAAAAUUCGGAAACUCUGGCUAAAGGAGGAGACAUUUUCAACGUUAAAAAAACGCAUGGAUACAGGAGUAAGGACAUAGACUUCUUACGCUGCCACGAGGAGACGUCCAGACAUGAAUGCGUGAAGUCAGCUAACAGGAGGAUGCGCUCUGUUGUUGGAGCCCCUCAAAGUGCUGGUGAAACAAACAUUUCUGAGGAAGGAGCUUAUCUUGUCAAUAUUCAUGGACCCCUUCCUGACUGAUGAACCUGCACAAUGAGAAGAGUUAGACUCCGGAGGAUAGUUGCCACAUCAACUUAACGGAAACCAAUGGAGCCCUAUUAGAAAGCAGAGGGAUAAUCCAGUGAUGAUUCAAAUCAUGAAGGAAGGAAACGGCGCCACCCUUAUCAAAUUCAUCAUCGAAUAUGGCCAUCAAAUCAAAGCGAGAUUGCACUCUCUUCCGCUGGUCAAAAUGGCUGAGCUCUGAGCUCCCCUAGCACACGGCAUUUUGUGAACAAUUGCCUGAAACCAGCUGUGGUGGACUUCAGAGCAAAAUUCCCCUCUUAAAACCCCAAAGCCCUAAAUUAAAUUUGUAAACCUUAUGUGGAGUGUCUUUUUCUCACGGCAGAAGCUAAAUGAGACAUUCAGCAUGGAUUAUUUCACAGAGUAUGAUGGAUGUUGACAACUACCUUGCACUUGCCGUCCAACAGAUAAAUACAUAAUGUAAUUUAUUUUUUUGUCUCUCUUUGAUGUGUGGACUCUUUAAUGGUCCAACUGAUUGAUUCAUAACCCAGAGUUAUGGCCACUUAUGUUAGUUUAAGCAAAGUGAAAUUGAAUAAAAACCAAGG
This is a long non-coding RNA of Eleginops maclovinus (Patagonian blennie), 1085 nucleotides long. RefSeq lists it as uncharacterized. NCBI's taxonomy places the organism in Eukaryota, Metazoa, Chordata, Actinopteri, Perciformes, Eleginopidae. The transcript is spliced from 3 exons. The record is from RefSeq and is a predicted model, not a curated record.